Molecule: transfer RNA, 85 nt
Filed under: Rhizobium leguminosarum bv. viciae
Lineage: Bacteria; Pseudomonadati; Pseudomonadota; Alphaproteobacteria; Hyphomicrobiales; Rhizobiaceae
Description: tRNA-Tyr
Rfam family: tRNA
About the family: Transfer RNA (tRNA) molecules are approximately 80 nucleotides in length. Their secondary structure includes four short double-helical elements and three loops (D, anti-codon, and T loops). Further hydrogen bonds mediate the characteristic L-shaped molecular structure. tRNAs have two regions of fundamental functional importance: the anti-codon, which is responsible for specific mRNA codon recognition, and the 3' end, to which the tRNAs corresponding amino acid is attached (by aminoacyl-tRNA synthetases). tRNAs cope with the degeneracy of the genetic code in two manners: having more than one tRNA (with a specific anti-codon) for a particular amino acid; and 'wobble' base-pairing, i.e. permitting non-standard base-pairing at the 3rd anti-codon position.
Source: RNAcentral
GGAGAGAUGCCCGAGUGGUUGAAGGGGACGGACUGUAAAUCCGUUGGCUCAGCCUACGUUGGUUCAAAUCCAACUCUCUCCACCA